This 2085-nucleotide ribosomal RNA is filed under the name Triticum aestivum (bread wheat). Its description in RNAcentral is "partial small subunit ribosomal RNA". The record is from RNAcentral. Lineage: Eukaryota; Viridiplantae; Streptophyta; Magnoliopsida; Poales; Poaceae.
AUGGGCACCAGGUCCUUCUUUACCGACUCCGAGAUUCAGUCCGACCCUGAGCUAUCGGAGCUGAUAGGGGAGAUCCUCUCCCUGAAGAGCGAGCGCAGAGACUUGAUUGGGUCUCUUACUCCGGGGAUUUCUCGCUGGGUGGAUGAGAUCUCUCGAGCAGCAACGUCGUCCGUCCGGGGCAAUGUCGACUGCAAAGAGCCCUUCGGCAUCUUGGAGGAUGUCGAGGAUUUGGGCCAGCGGAUGCUGUCCAUGUCCCAUUUUCUUUCCUGUUCCAAUUCCCGCAUCCCCUUGUACAAGGCCGACGAGCUGGUUAGCACAUCAUCCAAAUUAAUGAAGAUCUCCAAGGAUUUCUGCGAAUCUACAGAGCAGGCAAUGGAUAAGGCCGUGUCGGAGGCGGCAGAGGCAGAGGACAAGAGGAAGGAGGAGGAGAGGAAGGAGGACAAGAAGAAGAGGGAUAGGAUGAGGAAGAAGGAGAAGAAGAAGAAGCAACAGCAGAAGGAGAAGGAUGAGGAGGACAAGGAGAAGAGGGCUAUCAUGAGGAAGAAGGAGAAGGAGAGGAAGAAGAAGAAAAAGCAGCAGCAGCAGCAGCAGGAGGAUGAUGCACAAGUUAUUACAUCUGAGAAGAUCACCGAGAAGAUGGAAAGAAGGGAGGAGGAAGAGGACGAGGACGAGGAGGAGACGAGGAGGCAACAGGAGGUGAGGAAGAUCAUGGCUGCCAAUGAAUUCUUGCGUCUCUCCUCCAAUGUCCUGGCGAGACCCUUGUGUUACAGAAAUGAGUUGGCGAUGAUGAUUACAGAGGAGGAUGAGCAGGAGUAUGAGAGGGCGAUGGAGGCGGAGAGGCAGGCAGCGAUGGAGGCGGAGAGGCAGGCAGCGAUGGAGGCGGAGGAGGCCAAGAGGGAGGCAAUAAGGAAGGCAGAGAAGGAGAGGGAGCGGCGGAGGGAGAUGAUCAAGCAAAGGAAGGCGGAGAAGGAGGCAAAGAGGAAGCAGAUCCCGCAGAACAAGGCGCCCAUUGUGGAGAAGGAGGAGCGCAUUGUGGAGGAGCAUGCUGAUGAGCAGGAAGCAAAAUCCCCAGCGGAGCAGCUUAAAGAGCGGAUGGGUAACCAGCUGGGUUUGUUCGCGGGCCGCCGUAGAGCAUGGGAAUACUCAAGUGGCAGCAAGCCGGGUCAGUGCGGUGGAUUCGAAGAUAAAACUCUAUUGAGUCCUAUGCAGUUUACACAUUGCAUACCCGGUGUCAUCCCGCCGCGUGCCGCUGUUAUUGAGAGCUCCUUGCAGAUCUACUCCUUCAAAGUUACUGGACUAAGUGGCGACCUGAAGUGGCCACUCAAUGUGUAUGGUGUGGUCGCUGCCCGAGACACCGUGGACCACAACCGCAACCUUCUCUUCUCUCGGUCAAGUGUUAUGUAUCAAGUACUUACAUCUGAAAAUGACUGUUCUUUGUGCUUGUCUGGCCCGUCACGUGCUAUUCUAGCCGUGGACCCUGUUGACUUCGAAGUUGAGCUGCGAGUACAUGAUGGCUAUGAUUUUAGAGGUGAUGGGAUCAAUGAUAGAGAAUUGAUCUGUGUUAGCAACCGCUACGAGGUCGCGCCCAGCGGUGAGAUUCAACGUUUAACCUUCUAUAGUCCGUUGUGUAGAGCAGUGUUGAGCCUUGAACAACUUUCUAGUACGGUCCAGGCAACUAUCUUGUCGAUUCGUGUUGUCGGAGAGGGUCAUCCUUUUAAAUCCGGAGGGGAAGUUUUUUGUUGGUCAUCUAGUGCAGAUGGUAGUUCUACUAUAUAUGAGAAGGUUGUGCUCCUUCAUUCUCUUGAAGGAAUUCCUCAAGAAGAUGAUGAGUUAGAUCUAGAUGGUUACCUCCCUCUGUCAAGAAAUGUCGUUUCGGUUGAAUCUGGAGGAGGGUUGAAUGUUGUGGUAGAAACGUACGGGGGAUCUUCUACAUCUACUCAUGUCUACUUCCCUUGUGAGUAUUGCAACAUCAGUCAGCGUACAUGUUUGGUUGGCGGCUCUGAGGUGGAGAUCACUGUUGCUUGGUCCCGACUUGUCCGCGACAAGAUGGACCUUUUGAUUGAUGGAUAUACUACCCAGGCCUAG